AUCUGGGUAGCUUAGAUUAGAGCAUGGUAUUGAAGAUACCAAGGUAAUUGUAAAUUUCCAGGUA
RNAcentral lists this transfer RNA (64 nucleotides) under Teloganodidae sp. MT-2014. Its description in RNAcentral is "tRNA-Phe". The record is from RNAcentral. Lineage: Eukaryota; Metazoa; Arthropoda; Insecta; Ephemeroptera; Teloganodidae.